Molecule: non-coding RNA, 8063 nt
Organism: Ictidomys tridecemlineatus (thirteen-lined ground squirrel)
Lineage: Eukaryota; Metazoa; Chordata; Mammalia; Rodentia; Sciuridae
Source: RefSeq, a predicted model, not a curated record
AUCAGUCCUGGCUCCAGAAGGAAGAACUGAGUUUUAUGUGCUCACACGAAUGUUCUAGGCAAAAACUAUGUGACCAUUGGGACAAUAGCCUGGUUAUUUGGCCAAUACAAUAUAAAUAGCUAAUCCGGAACCAUGUUAUCUUUUCUUAGGGUUUUCUGAGCAGCAUAGUAUAGUGAUUCAGAACACUUACUCUGGAACCAGAUGGCCAGAGUCAAAUUCCAGCUCCACCACAAACCAGCAAGAUGGCCUUGGGUGAGGUAUGUAACCCUGUGGCUUCCUCAUCUGUAAAAAUGGGUAAUAGUAGAACCUACCUCAUAGAGGUUAGUGCAAUGAUAUCUGGGACAUGUUUAGGAUGGUGCCAAGCACUUGAGGCUGUUCUGUAGACAGAUUCAAAACUCAAAUACUUUUUCAUAAUCUGGUGCAGUACUUUGUUGAAAAUCUGGGCUCUUGUUGACCUUUUGGCUGUCAUUGUCUCCAUCAAAGGAUAAUAUAAAUAUGUUAAACCCACAGUCUCAUUUUAAUACUAAAUAAAGAUGUCUGGUAAUGAAUCAUACCAAAAGCAAAUGAGUAAAGUGAGAUUUGCAUUAAUAUUACAAUUAUCCAUGCUUUUCCUAAACCUUUAUUUUCAUAUACUUCUUAAAGGUUUCCACAAAGGAAAAAACUAAAUUCACUUCAGUAGAGUCAGCUCUUUAUAACCAGAUUGUCCACAGAUAAGCCUCCAGACCCCUUUGUGAGAAAGUCCAUGGCACCUGCACAGUCAGGAGUGGGAGAGGCGGAGGGCAACCAGUGGGAGGAGAUUUCACCUUGUAAGAGUGAAAUGAGCCUGCUUCUAAGGUUGUAGGGCAGCAGAAAGCCUGUUGUGAGUCUGUCCCAUAGCUUUCACACAGUUUCUUUGAGUUUUAGGUAAUUAUAUGCAAUACACAUAGCUUGCUUAAACUGGCUACAGAUUAAUUAGUGUCUCAAUAAAAUAAGGCGUUUCUCCAAACUCUUACUGGGAAUUAUACCAAUAAUAAUAAUAGCAACCAAGAGUUUACAUAGCUAUUGUGUGGCAUGAACUAUUCUUAGCCCUUCAAAUAUAUUGCCUCAUUUAAUCCUCACAGCAACACUAUGAGAAAGGUACUCUUAAUAUCCUCACUUUACAGAAGAGGAAAUGUGAUCAGAGAGAUGAUCAAGGUCAUUGAGCUAAUCAGUGACAGGUUGGAUCUAAAUCAGUCUUCUUCCAGAGCUCCUGCUCUUAACCAUUAACUAUUAGCUCUGAGGGGUUUUUUUCUUUUAAUUUUUUUCAUUUUUAGUGAUAUUUUAACAAUAUAAAAAUAUUGUUAUUUUAACAAUAUUUUUUAACAAUAUGAUAUUUUAACAAUUAUAAAGUAAUCCAUUUAUGCUAAGGGAAAUUGAUUCUAGGAAAUCCGUGGAUAAUCAAGUCCCUUUUAUAAAAUGAUAUACUUGCAGGUAUAAUACACACAUCCUCCCAUAUACUUUAAACCAUAGGUUUAAAAUCUAGGUUACUUAAUAAUACCUAAUAGAAUAUACAUUUUAUGUAAAUAGUUAUUAGGGAAUAAUGACAAAGAAAAGUCUAUAGUUUAAUAGGCCUAAGUUUUUGAUGGUUGAAUCUGCACAUACAGAGCUAUGUAAGUUGAUAGAAAAUGCUAGUAAACAGAUUGAAUCAGCCUGUAAUACUUUUUAAGUUAGGCUUGCAACUUUAGUCCUAUAGUAAGCAUUUUGUAUGAAGAAAUAAUUGGCUAUGAAUAAGUUCCAGUGGAAUUAUUUGGCCUAAAAGGUGUCCUGGUUUUACUUUAUUCUACUUUUCUAGUGAACUUUUGAUUUCUGAAGUCAACAGAUUUGCCAAACUCCUACAUUGUCAGAAACCAAGGACUGUCUUCCAUUGACCUAACAGAUACAGAACUUUGCAAAGAUUUUUUUUCUUAUUAAAUUCCAUAGAGUUGGGAGUUCACUAGAUCUUUUAGUAAGAGCAUGUUUUGGUAAUGUCAGUAGGAUCAUGAAUGUAUAAGGCUUCUAAAUUAGACAUGGCAAUUUUAGCCAACAACAGGUACUGGUCAAGGUUACAAAAUAAUUUUUAUGUUGAAUAUGUCUGAUACCCUCCUAAGAUGAGAGGCUAUUUCAUAAACAGGUAUUUUCUAGGUGUAAAACAAAUAACAACUAAUUCAACAUCCUAAUCAUAUGCAUUGUUUUGCUGCAGCAUGAUUUCUAACUUUUCCUUAGGCUGAACACUAUGUAUAAUAGAUACCCAAGCCCAGAUAAUAGCUCUAGGGUGAAACACCAAUUCUUGAAUUAUGCCAGUCUUUGCCUGCUUAGUCAAGAGAAAUGUCCCUCUGACAUUUAUAGGACCUGAGCCUCAGACUCUGGGUCUGGGUGCUUAUCAGCAAGAGAGGAACUUCAGGCUACCUUGUCACAUUGGGUAGUGAUGAAUAAGCCCAAGGAUUCCUGGAAGUCCUAAAGUUUGGCUGAAGCUGCCACUGCUACUGCCCUUCCUAGAAUGAUCAUAGUAGAGUCACAAGUACCCAUUUUAAAGAUGAGCUUCAUCAACAGGUAGAGUUUUGGGUUGGUUUCACUACUCUGGGCUCUGAUAUCCAGUUGCUCCCAAAGCCAUGACCUUCCUAAGCCUCCUGACUCCUGGCUCGUUCCACAUGACUGGGCCUUUUCUUAGGUGUUUCUGCGUAAUUCUCUAGUUUCCUGAGAUUUUACAGGUCCCACAUCAGGCCUCCUCUGCCAUCCUCCUAGCUGAGGACACUUCUAGCUGAAUGCUGCCUCAAGCUGGUGGCACAGGGAAGACCAAGGCACAUGGUGUGCAGAGGAGGCCCAAUAGUGAAUUAAAGCACACAGGUAAUGAGUAGCUGUUGGACUCUGAAUAAUCUAAUCCUGGAAAAGUUGGACACUGUAACACAUGCCUGUAAUUCCAGCAAUUUGGAAGGCUAAGGCAGGAGGAUCUCGUUCCAGGCCAGCCUCAGCAACUUAGCCAGAGCCUGUCUCAAAAAAAUUAAAAGGGCUAGGGAUGUAGCUCAGUGGUAAAAUGCCCCUGGAUUCAAUUCCCAGUACAAAAAAGAGAGAGAAAAGAAAAGGCUGGCAAGAGUAUGGUGAGUAUGUAUAUGUAUCCUGGAUGAUACAGGAAAAUAAUGGAGAGGAACCAGGCCAAGAAAAAAGCCGAGGUUUACUCUGCCCACUGACCUGCUGCACACUCUGACAUAUAAAUGCUUCUUUGUUCCCUGGAGAGACUCAACCUAAUAAAGUCCUGAUUGGCCCUCAGAACCCCUUUAGAUGUCACUGCCUCCCACACUCAUGCUCACCCACAAAGGUUCUCCAACUCCUCCAUGCUGCACACAGUCUUUCUUGCAUAGAAGAACCCUGUGCCAUAGCUGUUUGCAGAGGCAGGGGAAGAUAGUGAAAAAGAAGAUGGGCUUUGGAGUCAAGAUUUCAUAUCCCUUUCAUGCCAUUUAGUAACUCUAGUGACCUUGGCCAAGUGACUCAAGCUGUCCCUAGCUUCAGUUUCGUCAUCUUUAAAUGGAAAUUUAAUUUAAAAACAAAAAUCUUUGCAAAGAUAAUGUCAUGCAUACGUUACUCUUUAUUCUGAGGCACAUAGGAAGACCACAUUUACCAGACUCCCCUGCAGCUGAGUUGAUACCAGAACUGGCCCUUGAAUAUAUUCCAUAUGAUCUAUGCACAGCAAGAAACGAAAUUUUACUGUUUAACCACUGAGUAUUUGUUACUGCAACAGAGCACAGAGCUAUCCUUACACAAAUAGAACUCCCUGUUAGAUGUAAAAGAGCAUGAAAAGGAAGAGAAAGUUCAAAGAAGAAAAGAAAUUGGAUCCAUAUUUUAAAUCAUUAAAAUGCUGGGGACACUUGUCAACACAGACCAGCAGACCACACCUGUCUUUCACAAUCUCCCCAUGCCCGACCAAGAACUCUCACUGACAGAGCAAGAGUCAUCGGGAUGAAGAAUGACAAAGCUACCACUGACUCAUCCCACCUAUGCAGCAGGAACAAAGGCAAUAACGGAGUGGCUAAAGAAGAAACCAGUGACCACCAGAUUUUUAAGAUAAUAACAGAAGAGCCCCUCUCAGCCUCCAUAUCUGCCAUGAGGCUGGCACGGCCUGGGGAGCUACUGAUCCAAGAACAAGGAGACACAUGGAAAAACCCUGAAUUCAACCCACAGCCUGAAGCAUAGUGGCCCCAGCCAACUCACAGACAUGUAAGCAAGGAAAAAAAAAAGACUUUCAUUCCCACCAGAAAUGAAGGAAGCUCAAGUUAACGAAGUCAAGCAUCACUGUAAAGCUCCUGUGCACAAGACGCUGAGCUGGGCAGGACAACACUAAGGUGAACUGUACCCUGGGAAGGUAAACUCUGACCACAAAAAGAAACACUUAAGGGAAAGGUGCAGUUAAGGGACCAGAUGGGCUCAAAGCAGAGAAAAAUCUUUCACUUGGAAGAAGGGUCUACUACAAAAGGAAGCAGAAUCUUACUCUGGGUCACAGAGCCCAGGUGUGCUUCAACAUUCAACAAUAGGGAGGAAAGAGAGGGUACAGUGUGAGCAGAGGCAAGGUAUAAGGGCGUUCAAGGGGCAAAGACAGUCUGGUGAGGCUGAAGCACUAUCUAGGUGAGCUGGAGGUGAAUGCUGAGCCUCAGAGAUAUACAGAGGACUGUGGGGGAGGGGAGGAUGCCUUUGCCACAGGCCAGUAAUAGACGGCCAGCCCCAAGGAGAACUGAAAGGAGGGAAUGAACACUAGACUAGCCCUGAACUUGUGGGGAAGGAGAUAGAAGAAAGGGAUUGGAGAAAGAAGAGCCAGAGGUCAAAGGCCAUGGGAUUUUAACCUGCAAGAAAAGAAGGAUAGUUGGAACUUAUUAUUGAAAACACUGUAGGACUUAACAAUGUGAUCAAUAAUGCACAGUGGUAUAUAAUUCAGUCUGUAUUCAGUAAGUGCCAUUUCCAUUUUCCCUGUAGCUGAGACCCAAAACUCAGGGUCGUCCUCAAAUCCUCUUCACUUCUAUGCAAUCCUUCUGCAGCAGGCAGCUCUCCCUCUGAAUUUCCACCACACCCAUUCACUUCCUUUCCCAACUUUGCUCAUUGUUCCCCUGCCUGCAAGGAUUUAUCCCCACAUCUUGCUGUAGCUAAAGUGUCACCUUCUCCAAGAAGCCUUCCCUAACCACCAGCCCCCUGUUAACCAUCCUAGUUUAUUGUCAUGAUAGCAUGUUACUGUUUAUGUAUUUGUUGAUGUCUCUUUCAAUACAUGCUACCCAACUUUUUCUUGCCUAUUCAUAGCUAUGUCCCCAGCACAAAGCACACAGGUAUUCACUGCACUGGAACUGUCCAUAGGCUAUUUCAGAAGCACAGGGUCCCUGUGUACUAUAUGGAUAGGCACAUAACCCAGAGCUGCUUCUUCCAGAAGAUGCCUUGGGUCAGAUCAAGGGCAGACACCACCAGUGCUCAAUGAGUGAGUGCUCCAUUCUGGUGCUAUCUGGAUAAGGUGACCACAGAAGGCAGAAAGAAGUCACUACCCUAAUGUGCAGACAUUUGUCUGCUACUUGGAAGUCAGGAGGGGGUUCGAAGGGUACAGACUGAUGCAAUUUCCUUAGCACCAACUGCUGUGAGAAACAGAGCAGGUUACUUCCUCCUCCCCCCCUCCCCACAGCAACCAAAAUCAUCAGGCUGGCUUCUUUCCAUUGCCCUCCCAGGCCUUCAGCUGCCCAUGGGGGAAGGUGUUGGUUAGUCAGUAAUCCCUUCAGAGAAGUGGGAGGCAGAGCUUUGAUCCAAAGCUUGUGCUGCCUCCUUCAGUCCCACCCAUAUCCUUAGCAUUGAUGUGCCCUGCCUCUACUCCCCGCCCUCAUCUUAUCUUCCAUUCAUAAUGCCCCUUCACAGUUCUCACUGGAUCUCAACAGGAUGCAAAUUUAGUCCAUUUGACAGACCAGAGUACUGAGGCCAGGCUACCCCAUUAGUGGCAAGGCCAGUCCUAGAACUAGGGCUAUUUCUGCUAGUCAUUUACAACAGCUUCUAAAAUUAAGAAAUGGUAAGUAUGUGAAAGUCCUUACAUGGAAACAUUUUUGUGAAAUGGGAACGUAAUAAGACACACGCAAGAUACCAUGGCCAAGCUCGUAGUUUCCGUGUUUGUUCUGCUGACCACUGGCCCUGAGCUCCUUAAGGGCAGGAGAAUUGCCCAACUGACCUCUAUAACCCCGGCACGUUGUGACACAGAGCGGGCGCCCAGCACUUGGUCCCUAAUUGCACAGGUCUGGGCAAAGGCCCCGCCAUUGCGAUCCUCGGGGGUUUCUCCCGCUCUACCCCGGAGGGCAGAACCCCUGGGGCGGGCGCAACUCUGCCCAGCAGCCUGCGGUCCAAGACCCAUUCGAAAAGUUGCCGAGUCUCCCGCGUAAGGACCUGACUCUCGCCGCCCCCCGACGCGCCCCCAGCCGCGUCCGCUCACUUACUCCUGGUGGGCCGCCAGGUGGUUGAAGAUGUAGGUGACCGGGAUGGCUGAGAGGGACAGCACGAACACCCCGGUGGCCGCAGAGGCACUCAUCGCCGCCGCCGAGCCGCUCGCCCUUCACCGCAUCCCUCCAGGCGCCCCGCCCCGGCUUCCGGCGGCGCCCGCGCCCCUCGGCGUCGGCCCUUGCAGACGCCCGCCCCGCGCCAGGCACCGCGCCCUGCCGCACCGCACCCUCAGCGGUCCCCUCCGCGGACCUGCAGUGUACCAGGCGCCCAGAAGCUCCGGCCGGGAUGUGCUGGGCUGCGGCGCAGUCUGGGGAGGCGUCUUCGCUAUGCUCCUGCCAGGGCUCAGCGGCUAGUGGGACCGCGUUGAGGGCAGCGACACCCGCCGCCGGGGACAGGUGACCCUGGUGGGGCCACUGACUCUGCGAGAAGGCAGCGGACCGGGCUAGGGGCGCUUUCCCCAGCCCUGGGCACAGCGGGAGCUGGUCAUCUACGAGUUGGAGAGACGCUGGACUGAGCUGGGGGCCAGCGGUGGGUGGAGCCAGGCCCCAGGGUGUCAGAGAGGGCAGGGCUCGCAAGAUAGUCCACGGGGAAGCCCACGGCCCAGAGACCAGGAGGUGCAAAUACUCUGGAAUCGUGGAACUACUCUGCCCAACAGCUUUCAGCCGGCCACAAGCACAGCUCCUGUGCAGAGUGGAAUCUCUGCUUUAAAUCCUGGAUGCCCACUCAUCAGCUGUUGACCUUUAUCAAGUUACUUAACCUCUCUGUGUCUUUUUCCUGUCUGUGAAAUGUUGAUAACCUGCUCCAUGGUGUGAUUUUUGGAAUAACGGAGUUAAAUGUGUAAAGUGUUUACCCAGCACUCCUCAGCGUGCUCCCUUCUCCUGCAAUCCCCCUGCCCCCAACCACCACCACUUUUUUUUUCUUUUUUAAUUAAAAUUGACCCUGUAAAAAAUGUCAAGACUUAAGAGACUAGAGCAACAUAUAUCUAGUAAAUGUCCCUGGAAACCAGAUUAGGACCAACUAGCCUUCACUAGGCCCUGCAUGGUAUAAAGACUGGAAGACAAAGUCUCUCCUCAGUUACUGAUUAAGGGGAAUAAUGAAUACUUUUGUUCUGACUGACUGCUUUCUGCAGAUGAUGGUAGGUCAGAAAGCCUCCAGGGGCUAACCCUGGAUUGGCCCAAGGCUGGGGAAGGGUUAAGAACCAAGUUUUAGAGGGAGAACAUCUCAACCAUGGAAGGAUAUAAUGGCAGGUCUUAUGUCCUUAAAAUUGAUAGAGAACUCAAGAAGCCAUUUGGCUCAUUUUAGACAUGAGGAAAAUGAGUCACAAAGACGUUAUGACCUACUCCAGGGCUAUUCAACUUUUCAAAAGCCAGCUCUCCUCUUCCCCUGACUUAGCUCUUUUUAAAGUCUUCUCCAGCCCUGAGCACAUAAUGAUAUAAUCAUGGCCCAAACUGUGACAUAUCCACAUUUUCUUCAAGAGAUAUCCUUACCUGUAACCUGGACAUCACCUUCAGUGAAUGAUGUUUUUAGAUCAUCAUUGUCUAAUGAAAAUAUACACCAUAACUGUGAACCCCAUGUAUACUUUAAAUUCUCUAAUAGCCACAUUAAAAAGAUAAAAAGAAUCA